RNAcentral lists this ribosomal RNA (319 nucleotides) under uncultured bacterium. Its description in RNAcentral is "bacterial SSU rRNA". It matches the Rfam family "Bacterial small subunit ribosomal RNA", at positions 28 to 337 of the family's 1533-position model. The record is from RNAcentral.
GAUGAACGCUAGCGGCAGGCUUAAUACAUGCAAGUCGAGGGGCAGCAGGACUGUAGCAAUACAGUUGCUGGCGACCGGCAAACGGGUGCGGAACACGUACGCAAUCUACCCAGAACUGAUGAAUAGCCCUCCGAAAGGAGGAUUAAUACAUUCGUAACAUAAUGAAGUGGCAUCACUUUAUUAUUAUAGCUCCGGCGGUUUUGGAUGAGCGUGCGCCNGAUUAGGUAGUUGGCGGGGUAACGGCCCACCAAGCCUUCCGAUCAGUAACUGGUGUGAGAGCACGACCAGUCACACGGGCACUGGAGACACGGGCCCGACU